This is a long non-coding RNA of Pan troglodytes (chimpanzee), 810 nucleotides long. RefSeq lists it as uncharacterized. The record is from RefSeq and is a predicted model, not a curated record. NCBI's taxonomy places the organism in Eukaryota, Metazoa, Chordata, Mammalia, Primates, Hominidae. The transcript has 2 exons.
UUGAACAGGAGCCUCCCAGCAUUCUUCUGUGGAUAUCCCAAAGGCGAUUGGUUUGGGGCCGAGUGGUGUGAAGGCAGGAAGACACGCCCAGCCCAAGACGGCCACUUCUGGAACCGCCCAGGCUGGAGCAGCGGCCAAGUGCCUUAGCAUGGAAGAAGAGAGCCUGUGUUCAGGGGACCAGGCGGGUUCUGCAUCCGUGGAUUCAAUCAACUGCAGAUGAAAAGUUUUCAGAAAAAAUCCCCCCAAAAUAAUAAUACAACUAAAAAAAGACAUAAAAACAAUACUGUAUAACAACUAUUGACAUGGCAUUUACAUUGUGUUAGGUAUUAUAAGUAACCUAGAGAUGAUUUAAAGAAUACGGGAGGAUGCACGUAGGUGAUAUGCAAAUACCACAGCAUUUUAUGCAAAUACCACAGCAUUUUAUGUCGGGGACUUGAGCAUCUGCAGAUCUUGGUAUCUAUGGGGGUCCUGAAACCAAUUGCCCUCUGACAUUGAGGGACGACUUUAUAUAAAAUAUAUGAAUACUUGCUCGUAAAAAAAAGUUCAAAUGGAGGAAAAGAGAGAAAGUUUCCCCCAUUUUAUUCCCCUCCUGAGCUAUUAUCACCAUCAUUGGUGUGGAUCUUUCUAGACCCUUUUCUGUGUACCAGGAGCCUGUAUGUAUACAUAUUAAUAUAUAUUUUACAUAACUUGAACUAAGUGUAAGUGAACUUGAACAUGUAUAAUUAUCUUGCAAUUUGUUUUUCAAUUCAAAGAUACCAUCUGAAAAAUUUUCCAUGUCUCAGCAAUAAAUCUACCCCGCGUUUUCCUUCA